AAUAUUGCACAAGGGGCGCAAGCCUGAUGCAGCGACGCCGCGUGGAGGAUGAAGGCUUUCGGAUCGUAAAGCCCUGUCCUGGGGGAAGAAGGUCUUCGGACUUGACGGUACCUAAUGAGGAAGCCCCGGCUAACUACGUGCCAGCAGCCGCGGUAAUACGUAGGGGGCAAGCGUUGUCCGGAAUUAUUGGGCGUAAAGGGUGCGUAGGCGGCCUUUUAAGUCAGAUGUGAAAGCCCACGGCUUAACCGUGGGACUGCAUUUGAAACUGGAGGGCUUGAGUAUCGGAGAGGGUAGUGGAAUUCCCAGUGUAGCGGUGGAAUGCGUAGAUAUUGGGAGGAACACCAGUGGCGAAGGCGACUACCUGGACGAAAACUGACGCUGAGGCACGAAAGCUAGGGGAGCAAAC
This 406-nucleotide ribosomal RNA is filed under the name uncultured bacterium. RNAcentral's name for it is "partial 16S ribosomal RNA". It matches the Rfam family "Bacterial small subunit ribosomal RNA", at positions 360 to 773 of the family's 1533-position model. The record is from RNAcentral.